GUGAAUUGAACAUGUUAGCGGACCUCUUCGGAGCCCCUAGCAUCAAAUCAUAUCCAUAACACCUGUGAACUGUAAGGCUGUCUUGAAAACGAAAGUGAUUAGAGCGCCUGCCCAUUUUAUACAAACAUUAAAGUAACAAACGUAGUCUUAUUAUAAUCUAAUA
This 163-nucleotide unclassified non-coding RNA is filed under the name soil metagenome. RNAcentral's name for it is "partial internal transcribed spacer 1". The record is from RNAcentral.